RNAcentral lists this unclassified non-coding RNA (857 nucleotides) under Hevea brasiliensis (rubber tree). Lineage: Eukaryota; Viridiplantae; Streptophyta; Magnoliopsida; Malpighiales; Euphorbiaceae. The record is from RNAcentral.
AGCUAAAGUGAAUUCUCAAAGAAUUGCAAAAAUGGACAACUCACGAUCAAUUUACCCAUUUAUUGCAAGGGGAGACAACUUUUAUUGUCUGUCACUGCAAAUGACCACCAACAAUCAUGAAAUGAAAGAGUAUCUAUAACCAUUCUGAAAAUACAUAAAAGAUACAUAUUUUAAUUUUCUGAUUGUCAGACUUCAUUUUCUGGUGGUUCGGGCGCAGAUAUGUGGGAGGUGUAACGUUAUGGAGUUGCCACGAAUUGCCCAACUAUUCUAUCAACGCAAGUGGAAUUAGACCCAAUAGCACUUCUUUUCUCUAUUGAUUUUGAUCACUAAUCCUUCUCCUUCUCCUCACACUGAAGAUGCUUAUCCUCUAGACUCCAUAGCGUAGUAUUCAUGGCUCCAUGCACAGAAUUUGCACAUCGAAAAGCAAUUUUGCAGAGAUGGAGAGUUUAUACCUUUUUUUAAAAAAAUUUUUAAAUCGAAGGGAGAGUUUAUUCCUUGCUUGCAUGAUUCCUGACAAACAAAAUGUUCCAAGUCACUUAACCCACUCAAAAGCCAUUUCCAAGAGUCUAUACGUCACGUGUUUUGGCCAUUCUCUCAACUUGUCUUUAUAUAUAUCUCUAUUUACUUCAACCCAAAGCACGUCCAUGACCUUACAUCCAUGAUCAGUCUACCUGAUCAUCAUGAAUUAUGUGGAAAAAUUAAAAAUAAACAUUAAUUUUCAAGCAACAAGAAGAAUAAUAUAAGGAAAAUAAAUGAAAAAAAGGUAGGACAAUAUGUUAACAAACGGAGGCUUGGAAUGGAAGCCGUUGAAAGUUGAAACCUCUGCCCUUGCUUGGAUUGGAAUCAAAGUCAGGAUA